Molecule: ribosomal RNA, 465 nt
Filed under: uncultured bacterium
Lineage: Bacteria
Description: partial 16S ribosomal RNA
Rfam family: Bacterial small subunit ribosomal RNA
Source: RNAcentral
GACGAACGCUGGCGGCGUGCUUAACACAUGCAAGUCGAACGGAAAGGCCCCUUUGGGGGUACUCGAGUGGCGAACGGGUGAGUAACACGUGAGUAACCUGCCCUUGACUUCGGGAUAACUUCAGGAAACUGGGGCUAAUACCGGAUAGGAAUCCUUGCUGCAUGGGGGGGGUUGGAAAGCUUCGGCGGUUUUGGGUGGACUCGCGGCGUAUCAGCUUGUUGGUUGGGUAGUGGCUUACCGAGGCUUUGACGGGUAGCCGGCCUGAGAGGGCGACCGGCCACAUUGGGACUGAGAUACGGCCCAGACUCCUAAGGGAGGAAGCAGUGGGGAAUAUUGCACAAUGGGCGGAGGCCUGAUGCAGCAACGCCGCGUGCGGGAUGACGGCCUUCGGGUUGUAAACCGCUUUCAGCAGGGGCGAAGCUUGUGGUGACGGUACCUGCAGAAGAAGCACCGGCUAACUACGUG